Molecule: long non-coding RNA, 1330 nt
Filed under: Anser brachyrhynchus (Pink-footed goose)
Lineage: Eukaryota; Metazoa; Chordata; Aves; Anseriformes; Anatidae
Description: lncRNA (ENSABRG00000006683.1)
Source: RNAcentral
CUAAUACCCAGUGGAGUGCAUUAACUCUUAUGAUUGCUUAAAUUGAUUUUACUGUUUUAUCAGUUACUAUUGAACAAAUGAAAGGAUGCUGAUGAAGCAGUGUACUGUAGGCUUGUCUGCAAAGUUUCUCUUGGAGUCAUCUCCAUAUGAAUGAUUUCAUACAGCACAGAAAUAGUUUUAUGUAGAUAUUGACCUUGGAAAGAAACAAAACCAUGGCUUGGUAUUGAGGUUAGGUACAUGGAUCACGAAUUGCCCUGCAAAGAGAAGGCUCUAAUGAGGGUGUCACCAGCCUGCGUCCUCCAUGUUGGUGUGUGGUGGCCACGGCCGGCUGGCAGGUGCUGCGGAGCUGCACCCUCCCCUCCUCAGCAGGUCGGGCAGAAACCAAAGUGGAAAAGUCUGUGGUAGAGAGGAAGCCAGGAAGAUGGCUUAGCAGUUACUGGCAUGUGCAGAUAGACUCAGCUUGGGGACAAUUAGUUUAUUGCCAAUUAAAACCAGAUUGGCCCAGUCAUGGCCUGAGGUGGGGCUGUUGGCACCUGCUGUGACAGGUCUGGGGCAGCUGCGGCCUGUCCUCACAGCACCCUGCAGGCCGCAGUGCGUCAGCACCCCAAAUACUGUGGUGAAACAGGAUUUGAGGUUCCAAUUAAAACCGUGUUUGGGCCAUUGCUUUGCCUGCCAGUGCUUAAUCUUCUCCGAAAGCCUCAUCACUUAUCUAAAACAAAAGAAGAACGAGAUGGACAGAAAUUUAAAAGAGAGAGACAGAAAAGGGACCUCCUGUUCAUUCUGAGAGCUGCAGUCUAAAGCCACUUCUCCUAUACACGAUGCUCCAUGAAAGGAUCGUAAUGAUUGCAGUCAUUAGCAACACACUGUUGAGUGCAUGCUCUAAUUUUGAUGAAAUUGAUACUGCAUGACCUGAAUGAGAAAAGUGACAUUUAAUUCAGGUGCACUUGAAAAGAUAAAUUAUUUAACUCCUUAGAGUUCUUAGCAGAGGGAUGCUCAUAACUCACUAGAUGAUCCUUCAAAGAAGCGGCAAAAAUAUUUCUGUUUUGUUGUUUUUGUUUUGUUUUGUUUUGUUUUCCCAUCAUCUUUGAUCCUUUAGCGUAAGAGAUGUGUUAACUAUAAGUGAAUGAGCUAUGUUUUAUGAAAGUCAGUAUUUUAGAAAGCAGAAUGGUAAACAGUGCUAUCAUAAAGAAUUUUGUUACUGACUUAUGAAAACAGCACAGUAUUCAGUUAGCAAGGGGCUAAUGCUGUUGAGAUUAAAUCAAUCUUUGUUAUAGUUGCAAGGAAAAAUGAUGGUAAUAAAUCUGAAUGUGCAGGAGUGAUAUUUACUAUG